RNAcentral lists this long non-coding RNA (372 nucleotides) under Homo sapiens (human). RNAcentral describes it as "long independently transcribed non-coding RNA 2703, transcript variant 7 (LINC02703)". The record is from RNAcentral. Lineage: Eukaryota; Metazoa; Chordata; Mammalia; Primates; Hominidae.
CUUCUCUGUCCUGUCACCUGGUGAAAAAAAGUGCUUGCUUCCCCUUCCCCUUCUGCCAUGAUUGUGAGUUUCCUGAGGCCUCCUCAGCCAUACCGAACUGAUACCUGCUUUGGGAGCCUUCUGCUGCUGCGUGAGAUCCCUGGCUACCCUGGAGAGACAUCAGACAACAAGUGAGAUGCCCAAGAGCCCUAGCUGUCUUUGUCUUUGCAGCCCAAGCUCCAGACAUGUACUGAAGAAGCUUUAAGGAUAAAUUCAGUCCCAACUACUCCCUGGCUACAACUAUGAGACAGACCCUCCCAAGUCAGAACUGCCUAGCCAAGCUCAGGCAACUCCAAGAUUUAAGAGCAAAAUAAAAGAUAGUUAUUGCUUUAA